GGCUGGUUAACUCAGUCAGUUGAGCAUGGUGGUGAUAACACCAAGGCCACGGGUUCAAUUCCUGUUCAGUCC
RNAcentral lists this transfer RNA (72 nucleotides) under Apaloderma vittatum (bar-tailed trogon). It matches the Rfam family "tRNA". From Rfam's summary of the family: Transfer RNA (tRNA) molecules are approximately 80 nucleotides in length. Their secondary structure includes four short double-helical elements and three loops (D, anti-codon, and T loops). Lineage: Eukaryota; Metazoa; Chordata; Aves; Trogoniformes; Trogonidae. The record is from Rfam by way of RNAcentral.